CAAUAGCGUAUAUUAAAGUUGUUGCGGUUAAAAGCUAGUUAGUAUUACUAAGUUGCUUCAGUAAUUUAUGUAUAUAUUGUUGUCUAAAGACAAUUAUGUAAUUGUCUCUUUUACUUUGAGGAAAUUAGAGUGUUUCAAGCAAGCGUUUGCUUUGAAUACGAUAGCAUGGAAUAAUAAUAUAGGACUUAAUUUCUAUUUAUUGGUUUUAAGAAUUUAAGUAAUGAUUAAUGGGAACAGUCGGGGGCAUUCGUAUUUAACUGUCAGAGGUGAAAUUCUUGGAUUUGUUAAAGACGAACAACUGCGAAAGCAUUUGCCAAGGAUGUCUUCAUUGAUCAAGAACGAAAGUUAGGGGAUCGAAGACGAUCAGAUACCAU
RNAcentral lists this ribosomal RNA (374 nucleotides) under uncultured eukaryote. RNAcentral's name for it is "bacterial SSU rRNA". It matches the Rfam family "Eukaryotic small subunit ribosomal RNA", at positions 592 to 1018 of the family's 1831-position model. The record is from RNAcentral.